This 652-nucleotide ribosomal RNA is filed under the name Craterolophus convolvulus. Its description in RNAcentral is "SSU rRNA". It matches the Rfam family "Eukaryotic small subunit ribosomal RNA", at positions 442 to 1110 of the family's 1831-position model. Lineage: Eukaryota; Metazoa; Cnidaria; Staurozoa; Stauromedusae; Craterolophidae. The record is from RNAcentral.
AUUACCCAAUCCCGACACGGGGAGGUAGUGACAAGAAAUAACGAUACGGGGCUCUCGUAGUCUCGUAAUUGGAAUGAGUACAAUUUAAAUCCUUUAACGAGGAUCAAUUGGAGGGCAAGUCUGGUGCCAGCAGCCGCGGUAAUUCCAGCUCCAAUAGCGUAUAUUAAAGUUGUUGCAGUUAAAAAGCUCGUAGUUGGAUUUCGGGACGGGCCAGUCGGUCCGCUGAAAGGUGAGUUACUGACUGGUCUGUUCUUCUUCGCAGAGACUGSSUAUGCUCUUAAUUGAGUGUGCGUAGAAUUUGCGACGUUUACUUUGAAAAAAUUAGAGUGUUCAAAGCAGGCGUGASSCUUGAAUACAUGAGCAUGGAAUAAUGGAAUAGGACUUUGGUUCUAUUUUGUUGGUUUCUGGGACCGAAGUAAUGAUUAAGAGGGACAGUUGGGGGCAUUCGUAUUUCGUUGUCAGAGGUGAAAUUCUUGGAUUUACGAAAGACGAACAACUGCGAAAGCAUUUGCCAAGAAUGUUUUCAUUAAUCAAGAACGAAAGUUAGAGGCUCGAAGACGAUCAGAUACCGUCCUAGUUCUAACCAUAAACGAUGUCGACUAGGGAUCAGCGAGCGUUAUUUAAUGACCUCGUUGGCACCUUAUGGGAAACC